UGGUAUAUUUUUUGGCAUAAUACUAGAAUGAAUCUUUAUUUCUCCCUCCCUCUCGGCCUCUCCUCCCCCAUGUUGGGUUUUGAAACAGGAAACCUCGGCUGGCAUCAGUAUUUUAGCGACCUCAAACAUACUUCCAGGCACGUUCUCUUUCCCUCUUAUGCAUUUCAAGUAUGAUCUUGUUGUUUCAUCAGUAUUGUCGUCUUAAAACUGUUCCUCUCGGGAAAUUGUUAACCAGUAUUUCCUGUUGCAUGGCAAUUGGCAUGUUUUCAUCGGUUUGAAUGUGAUCCCUUUCCUUUAUUCCUUUGCUAAUAAGCACAAGCUAUCCACUGGUCCACCAAGGUAAAGGGUAAUGCAACAGUUGAAUCUUAUCAAGUACCCAAAGACCACGAAGAAAAAAUGGAUCUAUCAUCCAUGCAAGAAAGGGUUACUAGCUAUUGUAAAUGGUUUAUUUGAUUAAGACUUAGCUGGUUUGAAUCAACUUAUAGAUGCUCAGAUCACAAUAAGCAUAGAAACCUGUGUUAGCAAUACCCAACAAUCCGUUUUUCCUUUCCAGUUAUUUAGCAUUAUAAAACACUACUUCAAGAGAAACAGAUAAAUUUAUCAAUGGAAGCAUGCAUACUUGCCUGCAAGAGACACUCAUUAAUUUUCUUUUUGUUCAAAUACAACGUCAAUUGCUAUUGGAAACAAAUUUUUUUCCUUUUAUGGUCAUAUUUAUAUACUUUUGCUGCUUGGCACAAAAGUAACUUCUAGCUUUAUCUUUCGCUAGUAUAUAUAUAGUAUCACGGGGAGGGCAGGGAAGAGCAUCCUCCACCAACCUAGCAUUCUCUUCCACGGUGUGAUCUGCCUCAAGUUCGGCUAUAUUGAUCUCUUCAUUUUCGAGGUUUUAUCGUUCAAGGUUUGAACAAUAAUAUACAAAUAAGCCAACAGCCUAAUCAAAGGUGGUCGUGCCAUAAUGGUGACAAAUUUAUGAAACCUGCAAAAACAAGAUACGAGCAAUUGAGUCCCCGUUUUGUCUAACAAUAAACCUGCUUUUGAACAGAAGGAAAGAUAAACUCAGAAUUUACCGUUCAAAAGGAGAUUAUGUUAGUGAGGCUCCAACUCUAGCUGGUUUUAGCCUUUGCAGAGCACUUCUUCCAUGCUUUAUUGCUAUCAUAAAUAGACUGAAUAUAUAUAAUAGGUAAAAGUGGAUCUUUCCUAAGAUUAUGUUGGUUGCUCCCUCCAUAAAUGUUCCGCUUGAAGCUUCUGUUACCAGAUAAAGAGAGCAAACAUUAGACAUUAAAAACAAGGUUUAUUUGUCAGAUCAGAUAGGAUAAUCUAUUUUAUCUGUAAUUACCCCCACAAGAUUUCUGUCAUUGUCAUCUUAGUAAAUACCCAGAGCCAUUCUUAUAUCCAAGCAUGUAGUUAAUAGAUAGAGAGAGCAAUACUAAUUAUUUACUGCAUGCAGGUCAUUAUACCGAUCUGAUAAUGCAGGAGAAAAUAUCUUGAUUUUUCAGAAGAAUGCAUACCGGAAGUUUUCUUGGGGAAGUUGUUCCAAUCAUGAGGGCUCAUCUUCAUUUCUGAUGCAUUUAUCAAGUCCAGAAGAGCUUUAUUAACCUGAAAAUUUAAGAGUAAUUCAGUCUAUAAAGGUUCUUUCCACAGGCAAAUACCAUAAAAUAAAACCGUUAAAAAUUCUCAUUAAUCAUUGAGAUAUAUUUUUAGUAAUGAUGGAACACGGUCAAUUUUGUCAAGUUAAUAUUCUACUCUCAUCCAUCAAGUAAGUCAUUUGCACAUGCCAGAAUAUUACUUUCUGUACACAAUUCUACAAGCUCAACAUGAACCUUUUGUUACUCUUUCCCACUCAAAUUCAGUGUUAAAAAUAUUUUCAACUUCUUUUGAAAGUGGCUUUUUAGUGCUUUCCACCAUAGAAAGAUUCUCAAGGUGAACAUUCAUGAUGCCUGAAAUCAAGUGGCU
Molecule: long non-coding RNA, 1950 nt
Filed under: Theobroma cacao (cacao)
Lineage: Eukaryota; Viridiplantae; Streptophyta; Magnoliopsida; Malvales; Malvaceae
Description: long non-coding RNA (TCAC_LNC002144)
Source: RNAcentral